CACCUCUUCUCCAUUUUACCAACCCUCCCUCUCCGAUGCCGCCGUGCCCUUCGCUCUGCUACCACCGUGUCGUUGCUCUACUGCUCCUGCACCCAUCGUUGCCCCAUCACACUCACGCCGCCGUCCCCCCGUCCCUGUUUCAAAUUGAAAACACGUCGUAGCACCUCCUUCUCUGUAUGAAUCUCCAGUUAAUAUCUUCAGCGUUUUAGAGAUGUUGAUUAUUGAAGCAGAUAUGCAAACUCUCGGUGAUUGUCGCUUGAUCUUCAUCUUCCUCUCUUCGAGUCUCAAAUGGAAUGCUUUAUAGCAAAACCACAGGUUAAUUUUGCUUCUAUUUCACUGAAUAUAUGCACACACGUCAAGCGAAAAUUGGGAAAGAGAUAGCUAUUUUCUCAUCUGCGUCAUUAUCAGAGGUAAUAUGCAAGCCUUCUCUACAGGCCUCUGAGCAAAAUUGGUUUACUCUUAGGUACGUGUCAUAUGAACUCCUCAAUUUUCAUCAACUAUGUGGAUAGGGUGCUAUUCUAU
Long non-coding RNA from Arachis duranensis, 522 nucleotides. RefSeq lists it as uncharacterized. The record is from RefSeq and is a predicted model, not a curated record. NCBI's taxonomy places the organism in Eukaryota, Viridiplantae, Streptophyta, Magnoliopsida, Fabales, Fabaceae. The transcript has 3 exons.